CCCUGUGGCUCAGUUGGUAGAGCAUGGUGUUUGCAAUGCCAGCAUGGUGUGGGUUCGAUUCCCACCGGGG
Molecule: non-coding RNA, 70 nt
Organism: Salmo salar (Atlantic salmon)
Lineage: Eukaryota; Metazoa; Chordata; Actinopteri; Salmoniformes; Salmonidae
Source: Rfam